Molecule: transfer RNA, 71 nt
Filed under: Bacteroidetes bacterium 4572_77
Lineage: Bacteria; Pseudomonadati; Bacteroidota
Description: tRNA-Cys
Rfam family: tRNA
About the family: Transfer RNA (tRNA) molecules are approximately 80 nucleotides in length.
Source: RNAcentral
GGUUCCGUGGCCGAGCGGCUAGGCACCGGUCUGCAAAACCGACUACACCAGUUCGAAUCUGGUCGGAACCU